AGUGGAUGGGGAGCAACCUAGUUGUGCGUGUGUAAAGGUAGUGCCAAGAAAAGCGGUGAUCAUGAUGAAAAUCAAUUCCCGGUACCCGAAACCGACACAGGUGGGCAAGUAGAGAAUACUAAGGGGCGCGAGGUAACUCUCUCCAAGGAACUCGGCAAAAUGACCCCGUAACUUAGGGAGAAGGGGUGCCACCGAGAGGUGGUCGCAGUGAAGAGGCCCAGGCGACUGUUUAGCAAAAACAUAGGUCUCUGCAAACUCGAAAGAGGAGGUAUAGGGGCUGACGCCUGCCCAGUGCCGGAAGGUUAAAGAAGUUGGUCAGUCUUAGGAUGAAGCUAGCGACUGAAGCCCCGGUGAACGGCGGCCGUAACUAUAACGGUCCUAAGGUAGCGAAAUUCCUUGUUGGGUAAGUUCCGACCCGCACGAAAGGCGUAACGAUCUGGGCGCUGACUCGGAGAGAGGCUCGGCGAAAUAGGAUUGUCUGUGAAGAUACGGACUACCUGCAUUUGGACAGAAAGACCCUAUGAAGCUUUACUAUAGCUUGGAAUUGUGUUCGGGCUUCCUGUGCGCAGGAUAGGUGGGAGGCGUAGAAGGUAUUCUUGUGGGGAUACUGGAGCCAACGGUGAGAUACCACUCUCAGGAGGCUAGAAUUCUAACUUAAUUAAGGACAGUUUCAGGUGGGUAGUUUGACUGGGGCGGUCGCCUCCAAAAAGGUAACGGAGGCGUACAAAGGUUCCCUCAGACUGGUUGGAAAUCAGUCGAAGAGUGCAAAGGCAGAAGGGAGCUUGACUGCGAGAAGUACAGUUCGAGCAGGGUGGAAACACGGUCUUAGUGAUCCGACGGUGCUGUGUGGAAGGGCCGUCGCUCAACGGAUAAAAGUUACUCUAGGAUAACAGGCUGAUCUCCCCCAAGAGUUCACAUCGACGGGGAGGUUUGGCACCUCGAUGUCGGCUCAUCGCAACCUGGGGCGGAAGUACGUCCCAAGGGUUGGGCUGUUCGCCCAUUAAAGCGGUACGUGAGCUGGGUUCAGAACGUCGUGAGACAGUUCGGUCCAUAUCCGAUGUAGGCGUGAGAAUAUUGAGAGGAGCCUUCCUUAGUACGAGAGGACCGGGAAGGACGCACCGCUGGUGUACCUGUUAUGAUGCCAAUUGUAAACGCAGGGUAGCCAAGUGCGGAGAGGAUAACCGCUGAAAGCAUCUAAGUGGGAAGCCCACCUCAAGAUGAGUAUUCUGGUGUAAGGUCACGGGAAGACGACCCGUAAAUAGGCACGAGGUGGAAGUGCAGAGAUGUAUGAAGCCGAAGUGUACUAAUAGACCGUCGGCUUGACC
RNAcentral lists this ribosomal RNA (1325 nucleotides) under metagenome. RNAcentral describes it as "bacterial LSU rRNA". It matches the Rfam family "Bacterial large subunit ribosomal RNA", at positions 1561 to 2925 of the family's 2925-position model. The record is from RNAcentral.